RNAcentral lists this signal recognition particle RNA (267 nucleotides) under Actinomycetota bacterium. Its description in RNAcentral is "signal recognition particle sRNA large type". It matches the Rfam family "Bacterial large signal recognition particle RNA". From Rfam's summary of the family: The signal recognition particle (SRP) is a universally conserved ribonucleoprotein involved in the co-translational targeting of proteins to membranes. Archaeal SRP consists of a 7S RNA and homologues of the eukaryotic SRP19 and SRP54 proteins. In most bacteria, the SRP consists of a 4.5S RNA and the Ffh protein (a homologue of the eukaryotic SRP54 protein). The record is from RNAcentral. Lineage: Bacteria; Bacillati; Actinomycetota.
CCGUGCUAGGCGGGGGGUUCGGGGUCCCCUGUACCGGAAACCCUCGAUACGCCGGGUCGACUACCCGUCUGCGGCCCGCGGAUGGCCGGGCAGCCCCCGGCAAGCGGCGUGGAUGGUCGGGUCCUGCGCGACCCGGAGCCGUGAACCCGGUCAGGCCCGGAAGGGAGCAGCCGUAAGCGGUGUACCGGGUGUGCCGCGGGGUCGCCCGGCCGGAGCCGGCUACCGGGAAAGCGCCGGCGGUUCGCAGGUCCAGGACGGGGCGCACGG